UACGUAGGUGGCAAGCGUUGUCCGGAUUUAUUGGGCGUAAAGCGCGCGCAGGUGGUGCGGUAAGUCUGCCGUGAAAUCUCCCGGCUCAACUGGGAGGGGGCGGUGGAGACUGCCGGGCUGGAGGGACUCAGAGGCCGGUGGAAUUCCCGGUGUAGUGGUGAAAUGCGUAGAGAUCGGGAGGAACACCAGUGGCGAAGGCGGCCGGCUGGGGGUGCCCUGACGCUGAGGCGCGAAAGCGUGGGGAGCGAACCGG
Molecule: ribosomal RNA, 253 nt
Filed under: uncultured bacterium
Lineage: Bacteria
Description: partial 16S ribosomal RNA
Rfam family: Bacterial small subunit ribosomal RNA
Source: RNAcentral